Lathyrus oleraceus (garden pea) is the source of this 552-nucleotide long non-coding RNA. RefSeq lists it as uncharacterized. The record is from RefSeq and is a predicted model, not a curated record. NCBI's taxonomy places the organism in Eukaryota, Viridiplantae, Streptophyta, Magnoliopsida, Fabales, Fabaceae. The transcript has 2 exons.
UAUAAAUGAAAUUCAAAUUGAAAUUAUAAUGAACUUGAAAUUAAGUUAAAUUGUCUUUGGUUUUUAGCUUCUGUUAUGGAGUCUGCUUUCAAUUGCUCGAUUUUUGAAUUUUCAUUAAUUAUUUGGUUGAUGCGUUUCUGAUUCUUUCAGUUGGUAGUCUGAAUUCAAAAAUUCAGUUAUGAUGUUCCAAACGCAAUUGCUGACAUGUUAGUUUUACUUGUCACGACAAGUAUUACCAUUGUGCAUUCUGAUAAGCUUUCUUCAACAAAUAUUUCAAGGUCGGUGCAUAGCAAGCUCAACAUAUAGUUUCCCUGUUAAAAGUCUGCCAAAUGGAGGUCGGGUACGAGAGGUUAGCAUGGUUUUGCAACUUGGCACAGAUUAGAUUGGGAACUUUGUAAUUUUAUAGUAAAUUGUAAUAUGAAUAAUGUAAUGAACAAUGGAUUUGAAGAAAAGAAAAUUUUGUUAUGAAAAAUGAUUGAAAAUAGUUUAUGGGAUAUGAAUUUAAAACGGUAUGUUGUUAUUUGGAUGUAUAAAGCAAAGUUGAAAUGUAAA